Molecule: long non-coding RNA, 704 nt
Filed under: Citrus maxima (pomelo)
Lineage: Eukaryota; Viridiplantae; Streptophyta; Magnoliopsida; Sapindales; Rutaceae
Description: long non-coding RNA (CMAX_LNC002334)
Source: RNAcentral
GGACAGGCGCAUUUAUCGUGGCAGCUCUGGUAAGCUGGACAAUUUUAACCAAGUGUGUUACAAAUACGUUUUGUUAUAUUAACUUUGCAUUAAAUGAACGUAUCCAUAGGUGGAUUAUUUUUUUGUUUUAUAGUCUUAUUAUAUGAUCUCAAUUCUCAACAAGAAAAGUUCAUAUUUAGAUGUCAUAAAUACAAUUUUAUGAUAUAAUGAUUAAUAAAUGCAUUUCGAAAAACCAAUGUUUAAUAUUUGAAUGCAAUAAUUAACUUUUUUUUUCAUCUUUUGAUCCUAAUGUUUUAUCCUUAGUCAUCUCUCUUUCUUGUAUUAAAUAAUAUAUAAAACACCGAUAUAUCAUUAAUAUUAUUUUUUUGUUUGAAUAUUUAUUUUUAAGAAAAUCAUCUACUCAAAAGUAAUUUCUCAUUCUAAAAGAGAGGUUAUUGAAUAAUUUAGAUAUUUUGUCACUCCAAGAGAAGGUAUUAAUUACAAAAUAAUUUUGAUUCGGAUGGGUUCUAAUGUAGAUUAGAGGAGAUUUAUUAAAAGAGAAUGGCCCACCCCUCACUUAACUCAUAAGUACAGAUGGAAUUGCGUUUUGAGAACUAUAACGUACAAGUUGAGUAUACACGCCUCUUAAUGUCAUCAUUAGCACCUGAAAGCAACUUGUAAGGUAUCUCGGAAAGAAAAGUCAACCUACCAUAUUUCUAUUGGCG